RNAcentral lists this ribosomal RNA (537 nucleotides) under Melitaea trivia (lesser spotted fritillary). RNAcentral's name for it is "partial 16S ribosomal RNA". The stretch from base 400 to 537 matches the Rfam family "Archaeal large subunit ribosomal RNA", at positions 2542 to 2680 of the family's 2987-position model. Lineage: Eukaryota; Metazoa; Arthropoda; Insecta; Lepidoptera; Nymphalidae. The record is from RNAcentral.
UCAAAAACAUGUCUUUUUGAGAAUUAUUUAAAGUCUAAUCUGCCCACUGAUAUAAUUAUUGAAGGGCUGCAGUAUAUUGACUGUACAAAGGUAGCAUAAUCAUUAGUCUUUUAAUUGAAGACUUGUAUGAAAGAUUUGAUGAAAUAUAAACUGUCUCUAAAUUAUUAAUAAAAUUUAAUUUUUUAGUUAAAAAGCUAAAAUAAUAUUAAAAGACGAGAAGACCCUAUAAAGUUUUAUAAUUUAUUUAAUUAAUAAUAAAUAUAUAAUUAAAUAUAAUAAUUGAAUAAAUUAUUUUAUUGGGGUGAUAGAAAAAUUUAAUAAACUUUUUUUUUUUAGUUUAACAUAAAUAAGUGAUAUAAUGAUCCAUUAAUAAUGAUUAAAAGAAAAAAUUACUUUAGGGAUAACAGCGUAAUAUUUUUUUUUAGUACAAAUAAAAAAAAAAGUUUGCGACCUCGAUGUUGGAUUAAGAUAAAAAUUAAAUGCAAAAGUUUAAAUUUUUGAUCUGUUCGAUCAUUAAAAUCUUACAUGAUCUGAGCU